This 30-nucleotide non-coding RNA is filed under the name Mus musculus (house mouse). Lineage: Eukaryota; Metazoa; Chordata; Mammalia; Rodentia; Muridae. The record is from RNAcentral.
GGCAAGCAUGACAGGAUAAAGACUUUUUAC